RNAcentral lists this unclassified non-coding RNA (190 nucleotides) under uncultured Cortinarius. RNAcentral describes it as "sequence contains ITS2". The record is from RNAcentral. Lineage: Eukaryota; Fungi; Basidiomycota; Agaricomycetes; Agaricales; Cortinariaceae.
AUAUAUAUAUCAACCCUCCUUGUUUGAGUGGUUUGGAUGUUGGGGGCUUUUGCUGGCCUCUUGAGAGGUUCAGCUCCCCUGAAAUGCAUUAGCAGAACAACCUGUUUAUUCAUUGGCGUGAUAACUAUCUACGCUACUGGAUGUGAGGCAGUUCAGCUUUCUAACAGUCCUUGGGACAAUUUAUCAUUUU